GGAAUUGACGGGGGCCCGCACAAGCGGUGGAGCAUGUGGUUUAAUUCGAUGAUACGCGAGGAACCUUACCUGGGCUCAAAUGUAUGUUGACGUAUUCUGAAAGGGAUACUUCUUCGGACAAUAUACAAGGUGCUGCAUGGUUGUCGUCAGCUCGUGCCGUGAGGUGUCGGGUUAAGUCCCAUAACGAGCGCAACCCCUAUCAUUAGUUGCCAUCAGGUCAAGCUGGGGACUCUAAUGAAACUGCCUACGCAAGUAGUGAGGAAGGCGGGGAUGACGUCAAAUCAGCACGGCCCUUACGUCCAGGGCUACACACGUGCUACAAUGGCCGAUACAGAGGGCAGCUACCUGGUGACAGGAUGCAAAUCUCCAAAGUCGGUCUCAGUUCGGAUCGGAGUCUGCAACCCGACUCCGUGAAGUUGGAUUCGCUAGUAAUCGCGCAUCAGCCAUGGCGCGGUGAAUACGUUCCCGGGCCUU
RNAcentral lists this ribosomal RNA (474 nucleotides) under uncultured Sphingobacteriales bacterium. RNAcentral describes it as "bacterial SSU rRNA". It matches the Rfam family "Bacterial small subunit ribosomal RNA", at positions 906 to 1382 of the family's 1533-position model. The record is from RNAcentral. Lineage: Bacteria; Pseudomonadati; Bacteroidota; Sphingobacteriia; Sphingobacteriales.